ACUGAAAGAAGGCUUAUUGGGUGAUAGUUCUUUAAAUCAUCUUGGGCUUCUUUCUUGUGUAUAAGAAUCACUUCAGCAUUUUCCCAUGCAUCAGGUAUUUUUUCUUCUCUGAGGCAUCUCCAGUAUAGUUUUGCUAAUAUCUUGUGUAAACUGUGGUCACCAGUUUUUAG
Non-coding RNA from Pseudonaja textilis, 170 nucleotides. NCBI's taxonomy places the organism in Eukaryota, Metazoa, Chordata, Lepidosauria, Squamata, Elapidae. The record is from RefSeq and is a predicted model, not a curated record.